Long non-coding RNA from Drosophila nasuta, 435 nucleotides. RefSeq lists it as uncharacterized. The transcript is spliced from 3 exons. The record is from RefSeq and is a predicted model, not a curated record. Lineage: Eukaryota; Metazoa; Arthropoda; Insecta; Diptera; Drosophilidae.
GUAGAUACAUACAUAAAUGCAACGCCAUGCGCUUGCGCCUGCUUAUCGUUCCGUAUUCAAUCUGCGACUGAACUGAGUGUGUGAGAGGAAGACGGAGAAAAUAUUUGAGAAGCCAAGUUAUUUUUACAACCAUUGAUUUACAAUCGCCAAGGCCGAAGCUUACUUUGCAAAUUUUAAUCAUUUGAAUAACAGUUGAGAUGUGGAAAAGUAAACAAACUCAAGAAGAAAGAAGAUUAAUUUUAAAUGAAUAUAUUAUUUCAACCUUUUGAAUGAAUGGCUAUUUAAUCUUUCAACUUUAACUAUACAUUUUCCAUUCACAUAACUAAAGCGCUUGUGGAAAACUGAUCUACGCAUGGAUAGAGACAGUCCGCACUUAUGAUAAGAAUGGCGGUAGUCAAAAAGUGCCUAAAGUAACUUAUUGCUGAAUCAUUUAAA